CGCGUGAGUGUGAAGGCUUUCGGGUCGUAAAGCUCUGUCAAGUGGGAAGAACCUGCUUUGUGCUAAUACCACGAAGCACUGACGGUACCACUGAAGGAAGCACCGGCUAACUCCGUGCCAGCAGCCGCGGUAAUACGGGGGGUGCUAGCGUUAUUCGGAAUCAUUGGGCGUAAAGGGCGCGUAGGCGGUCGCUUAAGUCAGAUGUGAAAGCCCUCGGCUUAACCGAGGAAGUGCAUUUGAUACUAAGUGACUUGAGUAUGGGAGAGGGAAGCGGAAUUCCUGGUGUAGCGGUGAAAUGCGUAGAUAUCAGGAGGAACACCGGUGGCGAAGGCGGCUUCCUGGACCAAUACUGACGCUGAGGCGCGAAGGCGUGGGGAGCAAACAGGAUUAGAUACCCUGGUAGUCCACGCAGUAAACGGUGACCUAGGUGUACGGGGUAUUGACCCUGCUGUGCCGAA
Molecule: ribosomal RNA, 458 nt
Filed under: uncultured bacterium
Lineage: Bacteria
Description: bacterial SSU rRNA
Rfam family: Bacterial small subunit ribosomal RNA
Source: RNAcentral